AGAGAGGGGAAGCGCCCAAGGUCACACAGCUGGGAUGUGGCAGAGCUGGGGUUCCAGCUCCUGUUCCCAUUGCUGGACAGCUGCCACAUCUGGCACCCAAUUUAGGACCCCGCGGGGAGGCCCAAGCCCCGGGGGUGGCGGGGGAUCCUAGAGGAAAGUGGCAAGGCCAGGACCCUGGAGCAGAGCCAGAGUAGAAAACUGAGGCUCUGAGAGAUGAAGCUACUUGCCAAGGUCACGCAGCACAGUCACAUCCUACUGAACAUCAUCCUGUUCUCUGGGUGGAAUGUCACCAUCGCCCAGGUGGGGAUUUUUGUGUGUUUUGUUCACUGCUGUACACCCAGCCCCCAGCACAGCGCCUGUCCAGGACAAGUGCCCAGUAAACACUUGGGAAGCAAUGCAAGCGUCCUCCCAGCAGCUCCUGCAAACAGACCCCCGACCCAAGCCCUUCCUUCUGCCUCCACUGCCACCACUGCUGCUCAUCUCUGCUGGCACAGAAGUCUCUUCCCUGGUCUUCCAGAAAUCCCCUCUCCACACUCAGCCAGAGGGAGCUAUUAAAACUGUGGGCCAGCCCACAUCAGUCCACAGCAAAGUCCUCUCUAAGGGAUCUCUGUUGCUUGGAGAAUAAACCCUCGGAUUCCUUCCUUGGCUCUCGGGGCCUCCUCUCUGACCUCCCUCUGUCUCCUCUCCCAGCCUUCCUCCUCACUCACCCUCCAGCCAUGCUGGCUUCCUCCUUGCUCCUGAAACAGCCUGAGGCCCACACUGCCCCGGGCCCUUUGCACUGGCUGUUUCCUCUGCCUGGAACACUUCUCCUAGGCAUCCACAGGGCUCCCUCCCACAACUCCUUCGGGUGCCCACAUGGGAAGCCAUCCCUGACCACCCCCCCGACUUCCUUCUGAGCAAGGUAGGGUCUUUCUACCUAGUCAUGAGGGCAGGGAUUUUUGUCUGUUGUGUUCUCUGUGUGCCCCCAGUGCCAUCCCAGUGCCUGGCAGAUGGUAAGUGCUCGACACACAUUGGCUGACUGCCUGAAUGAACAACUCUAUGAGCCGAUGGCAGAUAAGGACACUGAGGUCCUCUGGGGUAGGUGACCAGCCCAAGGCCACACAGCUGGUCUGAGAUUAGGCCAGGAGAGGAGCCCGGGUUGGUCACAUCCUGGAGUUGGCGUCUUGGAAACUGCAUCAGGAGAAUAACAAAGAUGAGACGCAGGCUCUAACAAGUGGAUACCAGUGACUCUCGCCCCGCCAGCCCCAGCCCUGCAGCCUUGGGCCCUUCCAGGAGUCAUGGUCUGCCUGCCUGGGGCAUUCCAGGCUUCGACCCAGGUCCUGCACUUUCUAUUUUGAGCCUCUUAGUCCUGAGGACUGUGUGUUCCCAGCAGGCGGCGCGGGCCAGAGGCUGAGCCUGGGUGUGGCUGUCACCCUAUCUGGGGCCAGAGACCCAGAUUCCCGGGCCCUUAACCUGUUGGCUGCUGAGGGCUCUGGCAUAAGCCCUGUUCCCUGCUUGAUUGUCUCCCCUUCAAGCCCCUGCCCUGGUAUCGUAUCGGCCCAUCUCACCUUGGAUUAUAUCCCUGUUUGGCCCCAUUUGAAUCCUGGCUCUGCCCCUUUCCAGCAAUGUGACCUUGGGCAAGUCACUUCAUCUCUCUGGGUCUCAGUUUCUUCAUCUGGGAAAUGGGGACAAUAAGAGUACCUGUCUCUGGCCAUGUGUGGUGACUCAUGCCUGUAACCCCAGCGCUUUGGGAAGCCGAGGCGAGAGAAUUGCUUGAGACCAGGAGUUUGAGAUCAGCCCUGGGCAACAUAGUGAGACCCCUGUCUCUACAAAAUUCUAAAAAAAUUAGCCGGGUGUGGUGGUGUGUGCCUGUAGUCCCAGCUAUUCUAGAGGCUGAGGCGGGAGGAUUGCUUGAGCCCAGGAGUUUGAGGCUGCAGUGAGCUAUGAUUAUGCCCCUGCACAUCAGCCUGGGUGAUAGAUUGAGGCCCCAUCUCUAAAAAUAACAAUACUAAUAAUAAAUAAAAAUGAAAAUGAGUACCUGU
Molecule: long non-coding RNA, 2021 nt
Filed under: Homo sapiens (human)
Lineage: Eukaryota; Metazoa; Chordata; Mammalia; Primates; Hominidae
Description: plaque enriched lncRNA in atherosclerotic and inflammatory bowel macrophage regulation
Source: RNAcentral